Molecule: long non-coding RNA, 5559 nt
Organism: Chiroxiphia lanceolata (lance-tailed manakin)
Lineage: Eukaryota; Metazoa; Chordata; Aves; Passeriformes; Pipridae
Exons: 4
Source: RefSeq, a predicted model, not a curated record
GCUGCGUGCGCUGCCUGCGGGUCGGACCGUUCUGUGCAGGACACGGGCGGUUCCUCGCGGCUCGCUCGGGGCGGCACGUACCUACAGUCGAUGGCCUGUGUAAUCCCGAGGAGACAUCCAAGGAUUUACUUGUGCAGGCCGUGAAAGUGUUCGGAGUGCUUCAUGACGUCCUCCCUGCUUCCUGGAACAAAACCAGUUCCCAGCACUGCUGUUGCGCUUGUACCAUCCCAUCCUCCACCUUAAAGAAGCCCUUUCUGGCACCAGGCAGUGAGGAAUAGCAUGGGUAUAAAGAACCAUUCUGCAAGAAAGUAAGAGAAGCAAACAGGAAUGAAGAAAGGACACAAUGGGUUUUGUACUGUUCUAUUUUCUUUUCUUCUUUUUUUUUUUUUUUAAGGGAAUAACUGAAGAAUCCUUAAAUAGAGAGAAUACUUGCAGUGACUAUUCUUUACAGAAUGUACACUGACUGCUAAUCAUAUCUAAAGUGUUUGCUGGCAUUUUCCCUGACAAGCUAUUGGCCUAUUUGGUGUCUCUGGAGACUGCAUCCCUACAAGUCUGGGCUGCUGUGAUUAUUUUAGCACUCAAUGCAGGUUUCCCUGAGGAACAGUGGAGUUGUGCCAGAUGUGGUUCAUGUGCUCUGCUUCCCCUGGGCUUGGCAGGGAGGCUGUGUGCCAGCUGGAGGGGCACUAAGAGGGGACUGAAGCAAUGGCACUUGGUCCCUGCCCUGGGCCCUGGGAAAGGAGGGAUCCCCUUUCCUUCCUCCAGGCAAGGGGCUGCAGAACGUGUUGCUGCACAGACUCUUCAGCAGCAUGGGAGGGCAGACAGCUCUGACUGCAAGUCCAGAAGUUUACCUGAGGGUCACAAAAUGUUUUCCCAGUCUUUCUGGAAAUCUGGGCCAACCUGUGAUGAAGAGGAAGGUGAGAGAUGAUCUGUCUGGGAGCAGAAGGCAUUUCCAUGUUGGAUUUAUUGAAUUAUGUGUGGUUUGUGAUGGGAGAGAAUUCAGGAUGUUCCCAGCUGGGGACGGGAUGACAUACCCUUUAGUUAGAAAUCAGCCUUAACGGGUUCUUCUGGAACAGCUUUUACAGGUUCAGAGUUUUCUGGAUUCACUAAUGUCUUAAGCUCAAAGCAAAAUGUAGAAAAUAUGAAGUCUGUGAUAACAGGAAGAAAUACAAGGUUGUUUCUAUUAACCCCCGAAUCCCAUUGUCUUGAUAAAAUCACAGAAAACUGUUUUUUUUUUAAUUUUCAAAAGGGAGGAAAAGUGCAAUCUUCCACAUCUGUCCAUAUACUGCUUCAAUUUCUUGAUACCAGAAAAAUUUCUGGUUGUGGAAGUAUAAGUGUCAUUUCCAGGCUCUUUCAGAUGAUAUCUUUGCAUUGGAAUUAUCUCAGGCCUUGGAUCAUAGGGACAGACUUGAUGCAGGGAUGGGCACCAAGCCUCAUGAUAAAUACCAUUUUAUUCCUAGCUAGUGCAGUGUUGGCUGAGACUCUUGAGCAAAGGUGGAAAAGUCUGAAUUUUCUUUAUUUAAACUUCUUUAGGUGAUCAACACAGUAAAAGAGUCUGUGACAACUUUUAACCUUUUCUUUCACUGACAUGUCCUACUUAUUCCACGAACUCUAAAUUAUCUGCCUUCUCAUUUCCCUUUAGAAUCUCCUUCAGCAUCACAGUAUCACCAUCUAUUUUCUCUCAGGUGGUCUUAUUAAUACAAAUAUAACUAAAUUUUAGAUCAGUUGUUCUCGGUUGAUUUUUAUUUUUUCAAGGCUGCUGCUUCUAUUCUGGACCUGGGGAAGGACUGAUGUAUUUGAAAGCUUAUUGAUUUUUCCCAACUAGACUAGUGGGUUUAAUAACAUAGGUCUGGUAAAAGCCUUAUUUUAGUCAUAUCCUUGGAUACAUCAACAACACUGUUUUGUUAUUUCUUCUGGAAUAAUUUAUGGCUGUCAGUGUUAUGCAAAUAUCCCAGCAAUAGCUAGUAACGAUAUGGACAGUGUUACGUUGGCCUGUCAGCAAUGUUCCUAAUCUUCAUCAGGGAAAAAUAAACAGAAAAAUCUCAGGCAACUGAUGUACUGGAAGAGACUGCAAUGCAAAAGCAUCUUCUUGUUAUGAAGUUGCCAUGAUACAAUCAUUUGUUCAUUCUGGAUUGAAUCAAUGUUUUUUUUAUUCCUGUGUUUUCCUAUAUCAGAGGAAUUUGGUAUUCAGGGUGUGUUUCUCCCUGUUGGUGGAGUUUCAGAACACUUUGCAGUUUCCCUGAAGUCCCCUGGAUGAAGGGUGCUGGACAGUAUGGAAGCAGACACUUGAGUCUUGUAACACCACUAGCAGAAGAGCUGUGAUGAGCGUAGGAUGAAGUGGCAGUCAUUAACGUUGAACUGUUAAAUGAGGUACUUGGGCUGAGGUAAUUGAGUUUCUGGGAGCCAGCAGCCAUGACAGUGACAGAUCCAAGUACCAAAAUGUUACCUGUCUGUCUGCAGAUGUGUCAUAUUAGCAGCUCCAGCACUGGCCUCUUUCCUCAUGCUAACUGGGAAAAGAUGGUGGAUCUUGGCAACCAGUCCAGCAACGACUCUUCAGUGGGUAGGGGACAUGUCCUGCAUGUCUGCAAAACAGAGCCAUCCAUGUGGUCCUGCUUCAUGAUGGCUGAGACAGACAAGUGCAUUUCUCUCUUGCAUCCAUGUAGGAAAGGCAGUGGGAAAGCAAGCACACACACUUCACUCUCCUAAUCCACAUCUCCUCAGUACAAGGGACACUGCUCUUGCAGCAUGGCCCCUGGUGCCCCAAGGCAACAGGGAGCAGUGGUGAGAGUCCAACCUGCACAGCUCCUACUAAAGCUCACGAGGUCCCUUGUAAUCCUGUGACUUCUUUCUCAUCAGAGAACAACGUUGGUAAACUGGAGAGACCCAGAGGGGGCCAAGCAUCUGAACCUGCUAGUGUGUGGUGUGACGUGAGCUGUCAGGCCUCUGUGGGAGGAAACCGAGGCCACCAUAGUGCUGUUAAUCAGAUUCCCAACAAGAAAAAAAUAGCAAGUGAGCAGGUCAUCCAGGACACCAGCACAGCACUCUGUGACAUGGGCCAAAUAUAGGUUAUGUGUACAGCUUGCGAGUGCUCACCUGUCCCAGUUGUGUCUUCUGCAGGUGCUGGCGCUAACUUCCCCUCCUGGGAUUUGUUUCCAUUUACAUGAAGUUUUAAAGGCCCAUGUGGCUGGUAAGGAGCAAGAAUUAACUUUUCCUUAAAAUACCAUAGCAAAAACAAAAUUGAAAGCCUGUGAAAAGUGGAUGAAGCCAACUCUGAUGAUUUGCUUUUCCCCCCUUCAAAAUCAAAAGAUGUGGUUUUUUUUGGAAAAUGUAUACUUACGUCAUUUGUCCUCAUUUUGGUUCUUAAUAACCAGCACAGCUCAGUGAGUGCUGACUGGUUGGCUGCAAUUAACCCGUGUAAUGUUAUUUGUGGCUCUUUUUGAGAAAGAAUUGGCUUGUCUCAGCCUACAAGCCUUAUUUUAGAUAAUCCCCAUUUAAGUGCAACUGUGAUUUUAAAAGUUGUUACUUUUGUCCAUGAACGUGAUAGGAGCUUAAAGCAAAGCCCUUGAGAUGCCAGAGGAGACCCAUUACAAUUAGCAGGCAGUUUACCAGUGGCUUGGUAAGGGCAUGCUUGGGAGAGACAGGUUUUAUUCUCCACCUGCUGUUUAGACAAACCCAGCAAGGCUGAAUCACCAUGUGCCCUACAUCUGCAACCACCCUAGGCCUGAAAUAGCUGGUUCUGGAAAGUCACAUUUUGAACAAGGGGUUCAAAACAGCAACCUCACACCCACCCUUACAUCACUGAAUGUAAGGGAUUGGGCCACCUUUUCUUGCUCUUUGAAGUCCUAGUUUGUCAUUGCUGAAGUGCAGAAACUGUCCUGAAAUAAAAUUGUACCACUCAAAUCCCAACGAUGAUGUGAUCCCUCUUCUGGAGAGCACUUGCACACUAGAGGAACGUUUUAAAGCAAUAUAAUUGGCUUUCUUAGUUAAAACCUCAGCAUGAUUUCAGAAGGGAGAGGCCAGAAGGGAAGAAUCACCUUCAAAUUCAGUAAUCCCCAUUUUGAAGUGCACCGUAUUGCAAUUUAUUGCCAAGUAAAAGAUAUAUGUACAGUUCUGACAUUUAGAUUGCACUGAUGUUUCAAAAUUGAAUGCAAUAUAUUAUGUGAAGCACAUUUUCUAUGAAGUAUCUUUGUAUUUUUACAAAUGUAUUUGAAAAAUAUAUUUAGUGCUGACUAUAGCUUUCAUUUCUCUAGCAGAGAAACACUAAUUCAAGGGUUGUGUUGAAGAAAUGCUUUGAGUCGGGAACAUUUUUAACUGAAAUGCAGACUCUGUGAACGCUUCCAGGGAAGGGCACUUUGCCUGAAGAGAGUCACAUCAGAAGUUCCACCCGGCUUCUAAAUCACAGCUUUCUUGAAAAACCUUAUCAUUACACACACUUGUACUGAAAUUCAGACUGAUACAAACCAGAUCAAUUUAUAUUUGUGCUCCUACCUUGUUCAGUUACCAGCAUACAUGCAAAAUGCUGGAUGAAAAAAUACACGUGCAUUGAAAGUCCCCAUCUGAACUGAUCUCAGAGAUUUGGUGGGGAAAAUUCCUGAAAACUAGAUACAGAAACACUUAGUGCCUAAUAAUUUUGCUGGGAGGAGGUGGGCAAGCUGAGAGGGGCUCCCAGGAGCUACGCAUUAGACAUAAUAAGAACACAGAAGAUGCUGGGUUUUGGGUGAUCUGUGACUGAAAAAUGGACAACUCCUGUCAGCCCAGAGUGCAACUCCUCACCCUGCUCUAAAUCACAAGUCUCAACUUGGCCAGCGGCCCUGUGCUAAAAACACUCGUUUCUCUCCAACACAACAUCUAUAAAUGGAGCUGGGACAACUGCGUCAGCCAUCACAGAAUAUCUCAACUCGGCAGGGACCCAUAAGGAUCAUUGGGUGCAACUCAAUGCGUGCCUGGCUUGUAGGUACCUGAACUUCAGUGAAGUGGAUCCCACUGAACUUUGCUUAUAUCUGCAGUAUGCCAGGGACACAGUCACAGCAGCACCCCAGAUUUGCUGCCUUUGGCCUCAAAGUGCCUCCUCCUGCUGUCGAUGAUCCUUGUCUCCACCAGAUGGCCCAGCCAGCCUGCAGCCAGCCUUGCUCUCCCUGGCAAUCUCACCGCAGGCACAUUGUAUUAUUCAAGACUGGCACCUUUGAAGUCAGUUUAAGUUUCAAAUUAUACAGAAAAGUGGUUUUACGUACACCAAGCUAAAUAUUCAUUAGUACCUCAGAAAAUGGCAAUUUUGAAUUUGAAAUGUUUUUAGCAAUAGUGGCUCCAUAUCAAUGACUCAAUAGUACCAUGUCACUGCUGCAGAGUUUGUGAAAAGAUGGUCCCAGGACAGUCAUGCCCGGCAAAUUUAUUUUCUGUAAUAACAAAGACCAAAAUGCAAAGUGCACAGCUAAUGCAUCAGUUCUACUUUUUAAUAUGACUGUCUUACGGUUUCCUCUAAGUUACUGGAAAUAUACCCAUGACAUAUUUCCCCAUCCAAAGAUCAAUACCUGAUACAAAAAUAAAUGCUGUUGUAGAUGAAAA